Molecule: non-coding RNA, 165 nt
Organism: Agrilus planipennis (emerald ash borer)
Lineage: Eukaryota; Metazoa; Arthropoda; Insecta; Coleoptera; Buprestidae
Source: Rfam
ACCUCUCCCCCUCCCUAAUGUUCCCAACAAUCCUUCCAUGGGAGUCAUUAGAUUCAGGCUGACAUCCCUACUCGAGGAGGGGUUUUAGUCGGUAGGCGCUUCGGUGAAUCCGACACUACCCUGUUUUAGGGGGUGUCUUUUGCAGACGUCCCCUCCUCGAGGAUA